GGGUUGUGAGGUUAAGCGACUAAGCGUAAACGGGGGAUGCCCUGGCAGUCAGAGGCGAUGAAGGACGUGCUAAUCUGCGAUAAGCGUCGGUAAGGUGAUAUGAACCGUUAUAACCGGCGAUUUCCGAAUGGGGAAACCCAGUGUGUUUCGACACACUAUCAUUAACUGAAUCCAUAGGUUAAUGAGGCGAACCGGGGGAACUGAAACAUCUAAGUACCCCGAGGAAAAGAAAUCAACCGAGAUUCCCCCAGUAGCGGCGAGCGAACGGGGAGCAGCCCAGAGCCUGAAUCAGUAUGUGUGUUAGUGGAAGCGUCUGGAAAGGCGCGCGAUACAGGGUGACAGCCCCGUACACAAAAAUGCACAUGCUGUGAGCUCGAUGAGUAGGGCGGGACACGUGGUAUCCUGUCUGAAUAUGGGGGGACCAUCCUCCAAGGCUAAAUACUCCUGACUGACCGAUAGUGAACCAGUACCGUGAGGGAAAGGCGAAAAGAACCCCGGCGAGGGGAGUGAAAAAGAACCUGAAACCGUGUACGUACAAGCAGUGGGAGCUCGCUUAGGCGUGUGACUGCGUACCUUUUGUAUAAUGGGUCAGCGACUUAUAUUCUGUAGCAAGGUUAACCGAAUAGGGGAGCCGAAGGGAAACCGAGUCUUAACUGGGCGUUAAGUUGCAGGGUAUAGACCCGAAACCCGGUGAUCUAGCCAUGGGCAGGUUGAAGGUUGGGUAACACUAACUGGAGGACCGAACCGACUAAUGUUGAAAAAUUAGCGGAUGACUUGUGGCUGGGGGUGAAAGGCCAAUCAAACCGGGAGAUAGCUGGUUCUCCCCGAAAGCUAUUUAGGUAGCGCCUCGUGAAUUCAUCUCCGGGGGUAGAGCACUGUUUCGGCAAGGGGGUCAUCCCGACUUACCAACCCGAUGCAAACUGCGAAUACCGGAGAAUGUUAUCACGGGAGACACACGGCGGGUGCUAACGUCCGUCGUGAAGAGGGAAACAACCCAGACCGCCAGCUAAGGUCCCAAAGUCAUGGUUAAGUGGGAAACGAUGUGGGAAGGCCCAGACAGCCAGGAUGUUGGCUUAGAAGCAGCCAUCAUUUAAAGAAAGCGUAAUAGCUCACUGGUCGAGUCGGCCUGCGCGGAAGAUGUAACGGGGCUAAACCAUGCACCGAAGCUGCGGCAGCGACGCUUAUGCGUUGUUGGGUAGGGGAGCGUUCUGUAAGCCUGCGAAGGUGUGCUGUGAGGCAUGCUGGAGGUAUCAGAAGUGCGAAUGCUGACAUAAGUAACGAUAAAGCGGGUGAAAAGCCCGCUCGCCGGAAGACCAAGGGUUCCUGUCCAACGUUAAUCGGGGCAGGGUGAGUCGACCCCUAAGGCGAGGCCGAAAGGCGUAGUCGAUGGGAAACAGGUUAAUAUUCCUGUACUUGGUGUUACUGCGAAGGGGGGACGGAGAAGGCUAUGUUGGCCGGGCGACGGUUGUCCCGGUUUAAGCGUGUAGGCUGGUUUUCCAGGCAAAUCCGGAAAAUCAAGGCUGAGGCGUGAUGACGAGGCACUACGGUGCUGAAGCAACAAAUGCCCUGCUUCCAGGAAAAGCCUCUAAGCAUCAGGUAACAUCAAAUCGUACCCCAAACCGACACAGGUGGUCAGGUAGAGAAUACCAAGGCGCUUGAGAGAACUCGGGUGAAGGAACUAGGCAAAAUGGUGCCGUAACUUCGGGAGAAGGCACGCUGAUAUGUAGGUGAAGUCCCUCGCGGAUGGAGCUGAAAUCAGUCGAAGAUACCAGCUGGCUGCAACUGUUUAUUAAAAACACAGCACUGUGCAAACACGAAAGUGGACGUAUACGGUGUGACGCCUGCCCGGUGCCGGAAGGUUAAUUGAUGGGGUUAGCGCAAGCGAAGCUCUUGAUCGAAGCCCCGGUAAACGGCGGCCGUAACUAUAACGGUCCUAAGGUAGCGAAAUUCCUUGUCGGGUAAGUUCCGACCUGCACGAAUGGCGUAAUGAUGG
Molecule: ribosomal RNA, 1993 nt
Filed under: Escherichia coli
Lineage: Bacteria; Pseudomonadati; Pseudomonadota; Gammaproteobacteria; Enterobacterales; Enterobacteriaceae
Description: bacterial LSU rRNA
Rfam family: Bacterial large subunit ribosomal RNA
Source: RNAcentral